AUGCACCGGGAGCCUGACGUGGGAUUCGAUCCUGGGUCUCCAGGAUCGCGCCCUGGACCAGAGGCAGGCGCUAAACCGCUGCGCCACCCAGGGAUCCCGCUGUGCCACCCAGGGAUCCCUAAACUAAGGAUUUUUAAUAAUCACCCAGGUGACUCCACAGCUGAUAAAAUUAAAGAGGGUAUUCUUUGCUUGGAGACAAUGAAGUUCAUAUCAGGGCAGGGAUUAGAGACCCUCCUGACAAGGACUGUGGACAAGCCACAUGACAUCUAGAAGCCCUUUGCCCUUCCGACUGUCCUGGGUCUGUUCUCAGGUGGGGUAUGGAAUGUUGUGAGCCAACUGAGGCAUCUCAGGAAGUAUGUCUCUACUUCUUUGGUUUUGAAUCUUCUGUUGACUCAAGACACUAUGACCUUGGUGUUGAAGGGUCUUGGCACUACACUCCUGCACUUCUGGGAAGGGUCAUGGAAUCUGGAAGCCCUUGCAGUAGGAGCGCUUUUCCUCACAUCCCUAACCAUACCGGCUAACCUAUGCUAGUUGUGAGUACCCUUUUGUGAGUGAGUGAAACAUGCUUAACAUCCAGGCGCUUAAACCUCAGGCCUAACUAUCGGAGUACAGUGCACACAAGAAAACAGUGCCCACCCACCCAUUUCUCCCCCUUCUUCUACCUCAGUAGACACUCCCCUGAUGGAUCUCGUGUCAAUGGCCAUAGAAGAGGUAGCUCUGUACUGCCUGGGUUCUACCUCUUGUUGGUCCUCUGUUUCUCACUCCUGGGGGAGCCAAGACAUCAUGGUUAAUUUCUCAAAGCAUCAUCCAGACAAGGAGGAAGCUCCAGUUCACGAGUUUCUCUGUCUUCUACAGCCUUUGCCAUACAGCUGUCUCCAGAAGCAGGGUGUGCUCUCCCCUGGCCUUUCCCACAACCUCAUCCUUUAGCAAGUGGGCUUACUCAUGACUACUUCAACUGCCUGUAUCUGAACAAAGUAUAAAAGCUUCUCGACAAUUCUAUUUCUAUGGUUGGUAUUUGUUGAGCGGAAGGUUACUUCCUGUUUGGUAAAAAUUCCAACAUUCCUUUUACUGGAGGAGCCACCCUGUAGGAGGGAUACUUAAUAUUCUUUAGUUGAAGACCCUCAGCAACUAAAAUUAUUCCCCUUUCUCGCUCAUGUGAAUCUUGCACAAGUGAUGGAAGUGGUGCUUCUUGGGCCAGGAGAACAGGGGGUGGCUCCCUGAUAAAUCCUUGAUAUGUCUGAACACGUAACAGAACAAAUUUCCAAAAAUUUUACAUAAGUAUUAAGACCACUCCUAUGCUGAAGGCUAUCAAUAUCUUGCAUUUGAAUGACUCUUAUUUUCAAAGUACACUUGUAUGUUAUCUCCUUAUCAAUGAAGCCAGUCAAAACUAUUAUUAAUCCAUUGCCUAGUUUUAUUCUUGUAGGUCAUUUUACUGUACUGAGGCAGCUUUAAAACUGUUUUGCUCCUGUAUUGGUGUGUGUUCAAUGAGAAAAAAUACAUUUACGUUUACAAAAGACUUGCAGACAUAACAUAAAGAGAUCCUGUGUACCAAUGGUCCUCAACCUUGGGGGAUUUCUUCCCUGCACUGCUCCCGAGGAUAUUUUGAACUGUCUGAGGUUCUUAGAUUUUACAAUUGGAUGUGCUGCUGACCUGGAGCAUGUAGAGGCUGGGGAUGUGCUACACAUCCUACAAAAGAAUAGACAGCCUUCCACAAGCAUGACUUCUCUAGCCUAAAAUGUCAACAGUGCUCAGCUUGAGAAACUCUGCUGUAGACUCUUCACCCAUUUCCCUACGGCCAUUAUAUGAAGUGACCCUGAUACAUAAAAAUUAAAGAACU
This 1837-nucleotide long non-coding RNA is filed under the name Canis lupus familiaris (dog). RNAcentral's name for it is "lncRNA (ENSCAFG00000054861.1)". The record is from RNAcentral. Lineage: Eukaryota; Metazoa; Chordata; Mammalia; Carnivora; Canidae.